GUAGCCUACGGGGCGCAGCAGUGGGGGAUAUUGCACAAUGGGGGAAACCCUGAUGCAGCGACGCCGCGUGAGUGAAGAAGUAUUUCGGUAUGUAAAGCUCUAUCAGCAGGGACGAAAAUGACGAUACCUGAGUAAGAAGCCCCGGCUAACUACGUGCCAGCAGCCGCGGUAAUACGGAGGGUGCGAGCGUUAAUCGGAAUUACUGGGCGUAAAGCGCUCGUAGGCGGUAUGUCAAGUCAAGGGUGAAAUCCCCGCGCUCAACGUGGGAACUGCCUUUGAAACUGGCAAACUGGAGUGUGUGAGAG
RNAcentral lists this ribosomal RNA (305 nucleotides) under uncultured bacterium. Its description in RNAcentral is "bacterial SSU rRNA". It matches the Rfam family "Bacterial small subunit ribosomal RNA", at positions 333 to 656 of the family's 1533-position model. The record is from RNAcentral.